This is a non-coding RNA of Callithrix jacchus (white-tufted-ear marmoset), 285 nucleotides long. The record is from Rfam. NCBI's taxonomy places the organism in Eukaryota, Metazoa, Chordata, Mammalia, Primates, Cebidae.
GCCCGGCAUGGUGGCACGUGCCUGUAGUCCCAGCUACUCAGGAGGCUGAGGUGGGAGGAUCGCUUGAGCCCAGGAGUUCUGGGCUGUAGUGCGCUAUGCUGAUUGGGUGUCCGCACUAAGUUUGGCAUCAAUAUGGUGACCUCCUGGGAGCCGGGGACCACCAGGUUGCCUAAGGAGGGGUGAAUUGGCCCAGGUCAGAUAUUCAUGUGCUGAUCAGUAGUGGGAUCGUGCCUGUGAAUAGCCACUGCACUCCAGCCUGGGCAAUAUAGCAAGACCCCAUCUCUA